This 386-nucleotide ribosomal RNA is filed under the name Bacillus subtilis. Its description in RNAcentral is "bacterial SSU rRNA". It matches the Rfam family "Bacterial small subunit ribosomal RNA", at positions 149 to 519 of the family's 1533-position model. Lineage: Bacteria; Bacillati; Bacillota; Bacilli; Caryophanales; Bacillaceae. The record is from RNAcentral.
CCGGGAAACCGGGGCUAAUACCGGAUGGUUGUUUGAACCGCAUGGUUCAAACAUAAAAGGUGGCUUCGGCUACCACUUACAGAUGGACCCGCGGCGCAUUAGCUAGUUGGUGAGGUAAUCGGCUCACCAAGGCAACGAUGCGUAGCCGACCUGAGAGGGUGAUCGGCCACACUGGGACUGAGACACGGCCCAGACUCCUACGGGAGGCAGCAGUAGGGAAUCUUCCGCAAUGGACGAAAGUCUGACGGAGCAACGCCGCGUGAGUGAUGAAGGUUUUCGGAUCGUAAAGCUCUGUUGUUAGGGAAGAACAAGUACCGUUCGAAUAGGGCGGUACCUUGACGGUACCUAACCAGAAAGCCACGGCUAACUACGUGCCAGCAGCCGCG